This 497-nucleotide ribosomal RNA is filed under the name uncultured bacterium. RNAcentral describes it as "partial 16S ribosomal RNA". It matches the Rfam family "Bacterial small subunit ribosomal RNA", at positions 28 to 507 of the family's 1533-position model. The record is from RNAcentral.
GAUGAACGCUGGCGGCGCGCCUAAUACAUGCAAGUCGAGCGAACAGACGAGGAGCUUGCUCCUCUGACGUUAGCGGCGGACGGGUGAGUAACACGUGGAUAACCUACCUAUAAGACUGGGAUAACUUCGGGAAACCGGAGCUAAUACCGGAUAAUAUAUUGAACCGCAUGGUUCAAUAGUGAAAGACGGUUUUGCUGUCACUUAUAGAUGGAUCCGCGCCGCAUUAGCUAGUUGGUAAGGUAACGGCUUACCAAGGCAACGAUGCGUAGCCGACCUGAGAGGGUGAUCGGCCACACUGGAACUGAGACACGGUCCAGACUCCUACGGGAGGCAGCAGUAGGGAAUCUUCCGCAAUGGGCGAAAGCCUGACGGAGCAACGCCGCGUGAGUGAUGAAGGUCUUCGGAUCGUAAAACUCUGUUAUUAGGGAAGAACAAAUGUGUAAGUAACUAUGCACGUCUUGACGGUACCUAACCAGAAAGCCACGGCUAACUACGUG